This 468-nucleotide ribosomal RNA is filed under the name uncultured bacterium. RNAcentral's name for it is "partial 16S ribosomal RNA". It matches the Rfam family "Bacterial small subunit ribosomal RNA", at positions 28 to 507 of the family's 1533-position model. The record is from RNAcentral.
GACGAACGCUGGCGGCGCGCCUAACACAUGCAAGUCGACCGGAAUGGCGGGGCUUUUGCGGGGCGCUCGUGGGGCGAACGGGUGCGUAUCACGUGAGUAACCUGCCCGUGACCUGGGGAUAACUUCACGACACCGGGGCUACUACCGGAUAGGAGCUUCUGCUCCACGGUGGGCGAUGGAAAGUCUCGUUGGUUGGGGCUGGACUCGCGGCUUAUCAGCUUGUUGGUGGGGUAGUGGCUUACCAAGGCUUUGGGGGGUAGCCGGCCUGAGAGGGUGGCCGCCUUCCUUGGGCCUGAGAUACGGCCCAGACUCCUACGGGAGGCAACGGUGGGGAACCGUGCGGAGUGGACGGGCGCCUGUUGCGGCGGCGCCCCGUCCCUGAAGGCGGCGUUCGUGUUGUGAACCGGUGUCGCCUGAGCCGGGGCGUGAGUGACGGUAACGGGUCAAGAAGCACCGGCUAACUACGUG